This 308-nucleotide ribosomal RNA is filed under the name Klebsiella quasipneumoniae. Its description in RNAcentral is "bacterial LSU rRNA". It matches the Rfam family "Bacterial large subunit ribosomal RNA", at positions 1160 to 1471 of the family's 2925-position model. Lineage: Bacteria; Pseudomonadati; Pseudomonadota; Gammaproteobacteria; Enterobacterales; Enterobacteriaceae. The record is from RNAcentral.
UGCGCGGAAGAUGUAACGGGGCUAAACCAUGCACCGAAGCUGCGGCAGCGACACUAUGUGUUGUUGGGUAGGGGAGCGUUCUGUAAGCCUGCGAAGGUGGCCUGUGAGGGUUGCUGGAGGUAUCAGAAGUGCGAAUGCUGACAUAAGUAACGAUAAAGCGGGUGAAAAGCCCGCUCGCCGGAAGACCAAAGGGUUCCUGUCCAACGUUAAUCGGGGCAGGGUGAGUCGACCCCUAAGGCGAGGCCGAAAGGCGUAGUCGAUGGGAAACAGGUUAAUAUUCCUGUACUUGGUGUUACUGCGAAGGGGGG